CCUACGGGAGGCAGCAGUGGGGAAUAUUGGGCAAUGGGCGCAAGCCUGACCCAGCAACGCCGCGUGAAGGAAGAAGGCUUUCGGGUUGUAAAGUUCUUUUCUCAGGGACGAAGCAAGUGACGGUACCUGAGGAAUAAGCCACGGCUAACUACGUGCCAGCAGCCGCGGUAAUACGUAGGAGGCAAGCGUUAUCCGGAUUGACUGGGUGUAAAGGGCGUGUAGGCGGGAAAGCAAGUCGGAUGUGAAAACCAGGGGCUCAACCUGUGGCCUGCAUUUGAAACUGUUUUUCUUGAGUGCUGGAGAGGCAGACGGAAUUCCUAGUGUAGCGGUGAAAUGCGUAGAUAUUAGGAGGAACACCAGUGGCGAAGGCGAUCUGCUGGACAGCAACUGACGCUGAGGCGCGAAAGCGUGGGGAGCAAACAGGAUUAGAUACCCGGGUAGUC
Molecule: ribosomal RNA, 443 nt
Filed under: uncultured bacterium
Lineage: Bacteria
Description: partial 16S ribosomal RNA
Rfam family: Bacterial small subunit ribosomal RNA
Source: RNAcentral